ACAGAAUGCGUCAGCAUAGCUUGCCAGCUUCCCCUGUCAAUCUCUAGAAUUGAGUCAAUUUAACUUUUCUUUUAAUUUUAAUUUUAUUUUAUUCCAGCUCUUAACCUAAUCUCAUAGAAUUACAAACCUUUGAAAGUUGGCAACCCUAUUAAGACAGGUCAGUGUAUUGACAUAAGAAUCGUCAUCAGCGUUUGGUCUCUAGGAUGCCGCAAAGGAACUAGAGUCUGGAGCGAACAGCGUAAGUUCGUGAACUAAAAGGAUUCGCAUCUACCUGAGUACCAGAUUCUGCGAGAAUUAAUUUGAGCCCAGAUUGCUCAGACCGAUGUAAAACCUACGACUAACGCCUUAGGAUACAGACCAAUAAAACAGCAUGGAACGACAUAGGAUUCGGCAAGAAAGAACAGAAGAAGAACAAUUUGGUUUGCAUCAGUAAUUCAGUAAGGCUCAGCCCAGCAACACUAAUGACAACGUGAGUCAGGCUCCAGGAUGGGCCACAGUUUAUAGGUACCCAUCAUCAGAUCCUGAGUUGAUGGCAAUGGGACCAACUGUGAUAUACUAUGCCAACUGUGUAUAUUAUGUAGUUCAAAAAAGAAAAUAA
Cydia pomonella (codling moth) is the source of this 598-nucleotide long non-coding RNA. RefSeq lists it as uncharacterized. The transcript is spliced from 2 exons. The record is from RefSeq and is a predicted model, not a curated record. NCBI's taxonomy places the organism in Eukaryota, Metazoa, Arthropoda, Insecta, Lepidoptera, Tortricidae.